This 253-nucleotide ribosomal RNA is filed under the name uncultured bacterium. Its description in RNAcentral is "partial 16S ribosomal RNA". It matches the Rfam family "Bacterial small subunit ribosomal RNA", at positions 524 to 776 of the family's 1533-position model. The record is from RNAcentral.
UACAGAGGGUGCGAGCGUUGUUCGGAAUUAUUGGGCGUAAAGGGCGCGUAGGCGGUCGGAUAAGUCUUGUGUGAAAUCUUCGGGCUCAACUCGAAGUCUGCACAGGAAACUAUCUGGCUUGAGUGUGGGAGAGGUGAGUGGAAUUCCUGGUGUAGCGGUGAAAUGCGUAGAUAUCAGGAGGAACACCUGUGGCGAAAGCGGCUCACUGGACCACAACUGACGCUGAGGCGCGAAAGCUAGGGGAGCAAACAGG